GUGGGGAAUUUUGGACAAUGGGCGCAAGCCUGAUCCAGCAAUGCCGCGUGUGUGAAGAAGGCCUUCGGGUUGUAAAGCACUUUUGUCCGGAAAGAAAUGGCCUGGGUUAAUACCCCGGGUCGAUGACGGUACCGGAAGAAUAAGCACCGGCUAACUACGUGCCAGCAGCCGCGGUAAUACGUAGGGUGCGAGCGUUAAUCGGAAUUACUGGGCGUAAAGCGUGCGCAGGCGGCGAUGCAAGACAGAUGUGAAAUCCCCGGGCUCAACCUGGGAACUGCAUUUGUGACUGCAUGGCUAGAGUGCGUCAGAGGGGGGUGGAAUUCCGCGUGUAGCAGUGAAAUGCGUAGAGAUGCGGAGGAACACCGAUGGCGAAGGCAGCCCCCUGGGAUGACACUGACGCUCAUGCACGAAAGCGUGGGGAGCAAACAGGAUUAGAAACCCCAGUAGUCC
Molecule: ribosomal RNA, 450 nt
Filed under: uncultured bacterium
Lineage: Bacteria
Description: partial 16S ribosomal RNA
Rfam family: Bacterial small subunit ribosomal RNA
Source: RNAcentral